This 390-nucleotide RNase P RNA is filed under the name Chloroflexota bacterium. RNAcentral describes it as "Chloroflexi bacterium (sediment metagenome) RNase P RNA component class A". It matches the Rfam family "Bacterial RNase P class A". Rfam says of the family: Ribonuclease P (RNase P) is a ubiquitous endoribonuclease, found in archaea, bacteria and eukarya as well as chloroplasts and mitochondria. Its best characterised activity is the generation of mature 5'-ends of tRNAs by cleaving the 5'-leader elements of precursor-tRNAs. The record is from RNAcentral. Lineage: Bacteria; Bacillati; Chloroflexota.
CAAGUUGGCCAGGCGGUCGCGGGCGGCUUGGGGCCGCCUGAGGAAAGUCCGAACUCCGCAGAGCACGGUGCUGGGUAACACCCAGGCGGGGUGACCCGACGGAAAGUGCCACAGAAAACAGACCGCCGACCCCACCUUGUGCGGGUGCGGUAAGGGUGAAACGGUGCGGUAAGAGCGCACCAGCGCCCCCGGUGACGGGGGCGGCUUGGCAAACCCCACCGGGAGCAAGGCCAAGCAGGGGGGAAGGCGUCUGCGGGCGCCGAGGGGCUGCUCGUCCCUUCUGACCCCCGGGUAGGCCGCUGGAGGUAGCGGGUAACCGCUGCCCUAGAGAGAUGACCGCCACCGCGCUUCGGCGCGGGACAGAAUUCGGCUUAUCGGCCAACUUGAGGA